Molecule: transfer RNA, 74 nt
Filed under: Methylocystis sp. B8
Lineage: Bacteria; Pseudomonadati; Pseudomonadota; Alphaproteobacteria; Hyphomicrobiales; Methylocystaceae
Rfam family: tRNA
About the family: Transfer RNA (tRNA) molecules are approximately 80 nucleotides in length. Their secondary structure includes four short double-helical elements and three loops (D, anti-codon, and T loops).
Source: Rfam by way of RNAcentral
GCGCCCGUAGCUCAGCUGGAUAGAGCGUUGCCCUCCGAAGGCAGAGGUCAGAGGUUCGAAUCCUCUCGGGCGCG